This is a non-coding RNA of Phascolarctos cinereus (koala), 380 nucleotides long. NCBI's taxonomy places the organism in Eukaryota, Metazoa, Chordata, Mammalia, Diprotodontia, Phascolarctidae. The record is from RefSeq and is a predicted model, not a curated record.
AAGGGCUUGCACCAGGGUAGAUGCAGCUUCAGAGGAGUGAAGGGAAUGUAUGAGAGAGAUACUAUAAAGAGAGGAUCAACAGGUCUUAGAACACUAUGGUCUGUGAGCAAAUGAAGAAAGCCUUUUGUAAACUGUAAUGUGGACGAUGUCACUGUGAGUUAUUGCUGGGUUUCUCUUUGUGGGAGGCGGAGCUAGGGUCAAAGGCCAUCUGAAGAGAGGCUGCGCUCCAGGUAACGUCAGGUGCUUCUUGAAAGGACUCUCAAAAUGAUCUAAAGUGUUGAUCUGGGAAAGGUUCUUUCCACAAUGGCAGACAGCAAUCAUUCAGGAUGCUGACAGUGGAAGUGAUGCAGCAUGCAUGCUGAAGAGGAAAGAGGAGAGGG